RNAcentral lists this ribosomal RNA (426 nucleotides) under uncultured bacterium. RNAcentral describes it as "bacterial SSU rRNA". It matches the Rfam family "Bacterial small subunit ribosomal RNA", at positions 355 to 796 of the family's 1533-position model. The record is from RNAcentral.
UGAGGAAUUUUCCGCAAUGGGCGAAAGCCUGACGGAGCAACGCCGCGUGUGUGAUGAAGUCCUUCGGGAUGUAAAGCACUGUCCAAGGGGAAGAACAAAUGACGGUACCCUUGAAGAAAGCCCCGGCUAACUACGUGCCAGCAGCCGCGGUAAUACGUAGGGGGCGAGCGUUAUCCGGAUUUACUGGGCGUAAAGCGCGUGUAGGUGGUUGCGUAAGUUGGUUGUGAAAUCCCUCGGCUCAACCGAGGAACUGCAAUCAAUACUGCGCGGCUAGAGUAGCAGAGAGGAAAGUGGAAUUCCCGGUGUAGUAGUGAAAUGCGUAGAUAUCGGGAGGAACACCAGUGGCGAAGGCGACUUUCUGGCUGCCAACUGACACUGAGACGCGAAAGCUAGGGGAGCGAACGGGAUUAGAUACCCCCGUAGUCC